CAGUGUUGACAUUUGCUUUGUUAAUGUUAAUUCCAGUACACUGGUGAUGAUCGCAGAAAGAUAUGAUCCUGGGCCUUGAAGAGCUGACAAUCUAAGUCAACUCACAGAAUUUUACAUAAAGGAGCUGAAGUUCAAGGAAAUUCUUAUUCAUUCAAUCAACUCAUGCUGAGAGAUACAUUGCUCAGAAAAUUGUCCGGUUAAUUGACAACAGAGUAAAUAUUGGAACCUAGACAUGUUGACUCACUCAGAGCUCUGCACCCCUCUCCACUCCUUCACUGCUACACUGUACAGUCGCGAGAAGACACAGACAUAGGAAAAACAGAAAGUUUUCCGUCGUUUGAUGGCAUGGGCAGGAGCAGUGGCUCAUGCUUAUAAUCUAAGCACUUUGGGAAGCCAAGGCAAGCAGAUCAGUUCAGGUCAAGAGUUUUAGACCAGCCUGGCCAACAUGGUGAAACCCUGUCUCUGCAGAAAAUACAAAAAUUAGCUGGGUGUGCUGGCAGGUCCCUGUAGUCCCAACUACUUGGGAGGCUGAGGCAGGAGAACCGCUUGAACCCUGUAAGUGGAGGUUGCAGUGAGCUGAGAUCGUGCCACUGCACUCCAGCUUGGGUGAAAGAGCAAGACUCAUCUCAAAAAAAAAAAAAAUAGUUUCAUAGCAUGAAAAGUUGCUGGGCAUUUAUUAAACACAGAGGCUGCAUUCUUUUACCUUCAUGUAAUAUUCUAUAUCUUUGAUUUUAGAAAAAGAAGAUCUGUGACUAUGUUUGACAAGGAAUCGUUGUCCAUCUAAGCAGAUUACGAGAGGACUCAAAUAAUCUAACACAUUCUGAUUCACCAAGGGAACCCAGCUCCUUAAAACCCGCCUGGAUAUGUUUGGGACUCACAUAAAAUUUGAAAAAAAGAAAAGCCCUCUUUUCAAAAAUAAAAAUAAGAGCAAAUAAACUUGCUAUUCGUGUCUUUUAAAAUCUCUAAAAUGAGACGUGCUGAAAAUAAUUGUCAGACCUGUCUUCUGUGUGUAAUCCAUAACAAGGGACAUGUCCAAGAAGGUUAGUGGUUGGACUCCCUCUGAUUUAGAGCAUGCUAACAAAAGAAGAACAUUUCAACAAGUUUUUAAUGCCUACCAUAUGCCCAGUUAAAAUCAAACUAGAAAUGAGUUGGACUGAAUAAGCAAUGGGACAAGAUUUCUCUAUAGCUCUUAUUUCUCCCUAGGAACAUUACCCAGGAGAAUGUGUGACUUAUUUUCUAUGGUAUCAAGAGCCAGUAAGAAGAAACAGAAGGCACCAGUAGGGAUAGCAUAAAACAAAAACAAAACAAAACAGCCCUUAAUCUUGGCUUAGGAGUCCAGAACAAUUAUACUUUCACAUUUUCCUUCCUAAUUUGUAUUUUCUGUUUUCAAGAAAUUUCCAGACAGCUACAGAGUGGUGUAAUGCCAACAUAUUUUCAAAGGUAUUUUUGUAAGUGCUAAUAAAUGAGUGCAUAUUGUAAGAAAACUCAUGAAACAUACAAUUUAUAAAAAUAAAACAAGAUCACUGAGAGAUUAAACGAAAUUUUUUAAAGUUUCCGUGCAAAUACAUAUAUACUUUUAAAAAUCCCUGGAAUUAGCAUGUUUCUCAAAGGUGAUGAAAAGGUGACAUGAGAUGGAAGAAAUACCUCUAAACUUAGAAUUAGGAGGCCUGUGAUCUAGACACCACUUCUCGGUCAUUAACCAGAUGAGUGAAUCCAGCAAGUUUCACAAUCUCUUGGAUGGCAAUUUCCUUUUCUAAGAAAAAAUAAAUUUGGACUAAAUGCACUAAAGGCUUUUUCCAGGAUGACAUCCUUUGAGGUUGAUUGUUUUUGUUACUGUUGUUGUUAUUGUUGUUAAAAUGAUUAAUAUCAUAUGGCAUAAUAUAUAUUAUGCAUGGAUAAAAUGAUUAGAUAUAAAUUGCUUUCCUGUGUGUUGCCAUGAUAUGAACAUUGAAACCCCAUGGACUUAGGUAAGAAAGGACUUUAAAGCUGAGUAAACAGAACUUUAAUGAGACUCUAUGUUAGAUCUUCCAGAGGCCAGUCAGCACAAAUCAUUGCAUUGGAUUUUCAGUUGAGAUGACUGCUGUGCAAAUUCAUGACCUUUAUCACAUCAAUUGAAAUUCGCUUCCGGUGCCAGGUGAGAGUACCACACAGUCACCCAUAACCCUACUUCUAGAUUUCAGCUACUCCUCCAGGAACCCAGAAUUAUGAAGUUGGCAGCUGCUACAAGCUCUGCAGACAACGAGAAGGGCAUGUAACAAUGCCAUUCAAAAGUGGUUCAUGAACAGUAUGGUUCUCAAAAUGACACAUAUGAGCAUUUGUGUAUUUGCAACAGUAUUUUUUGCUAUAUGUUUGCCUAAUUUUGUACUGAUGAAUCAUCUCUUUAGGAAUGAAAUGACUAAAAAUUCUAUGAAGGGUUGGGUGUCUUUUAUUUUGGGAAAAGAAUCCAAACCCUACGGCAAGAGAGCCAUGAUUACUGGAGGUGCA
Molecule: long non-coding RNA, 2484 nt
Filed under: Homo sapiens (human)
Lineage: Eukaryota; Metazoa; Chordata; Mammalia; Primates; Hominidae
Description: HSALNT0244675
Source: RNAcentral